Non-coding RNA from Styela clava, 594 nucleotides. NCBI's taxonomy places the organism in Eukaryota, Metazoa, Chordata, Ascidiacea, Stolidobranchia, Styelidae. The record is from RefSeq and is a predicted model, not a curated record.
CCCAUUCACAUCUGUUCACACCACUGCGUUGACGCACCUUCAAACCUUGUUUGUUUAACUUAAUCGUGCGUUGCUGCGUUAACGCAUCAUUUUGACGCACUGCGUCAACGCAACGAAUUCUCGAGGACACAUUCUUUUGCGUUGACGCGCUGCGUUAGUCGAGAUUUGAGUUGGAUUCAGGUACUUUGUGAUGUGGUUUGGCGAUGACUUUAAACAAAAAUCGACGAUUGAGUUUACUGUUGUGGUUGAGAAAACGGGAGGAUAAAAAAGAGAUGGAAAAUAAGAAGGUGGUGAGGCCAUUCUAUUUUGCAUAGAAGAGAAACUAGAGUUAUAAAUUCCUUGCAGUGGUCAUCGGCGCUUACGGAAGAGCAAGUGAUGGGUGAAUAUUUGCAAACUCAUGUUUUGGACAUCGCCUGCAGAAUGGAACCUUGAGUCUACCCUCACCAAGGGGCAUAUCUAUUUUCAGGCCAUUGCCAUUAACGAAUGGGCCAACCGUUACCUUUGUUUUCCUUGGUGAUGAAGCGUUUCCACUGAAAGAAUAUUUGAUGAGACCAUUUCCUGGCAAUGGUCUUUCGCAAGAGAAGAAAAUUUUAA